Molecule: long non-coding RNA, 2004 nt
Filed under: Nicotiana benthamiana
Lineage: Eukaryota; Viridiplantae; Streptophyta; Magnoliopsida; Solanales; Solanaceae
Description: long non-coding RNA (NBEN_LNC036661)
Source: RNAcentral
CUAUAAAAAGGUCAGGUCGGUACUCCUUCUUUUGAUGAAGUAAGUGGUGUAUUAUUGACAAAAGCAUCCAGUGGAUGCACGUAUUACAAAAUAAAAGAAGAUAUCAGCUCCUAAGAAGAGAGCAACAAAAAUCUAUCAUAAGACUAAAGAGCUGAUAAAUUCCAUAAUUGGUCAGAGUUAUACAUAGGGGAGAGUUUAACCCAACUACAAAGAGUGACCAAACAUCUAAGCAUCCAGCCAGGUCGGUACUCCUUUUUUUUUAUUUUGCACCGGGUGUCCGAGUCUCUUCGAGCCUCGACUUAUCCCGGGGGUGCACAGGCCCUCGGCAAGGAGUUUCCCGCAAGUGCACCACAGUUAAUUCAGGUUUUACCCAGUCCGAUGGCCCUCAGAAAAGUCAGGUCGGUACUCCUAAGUUAAGUAGAAGUGAAAAAUCAGCAAUUUUCAGUAGGACAAAAUGCAACACGUUUGAAUACAUUAUAUCAGCAAACGAAACUGGUAGCUAAGUGUUAGAGACAGUAAAAUAAAACAGAACCUCGCUGGAAACAAAUAGCAGUAGAAACUAAAUUAGUAAAAGUCAACUCUCAACUGAAGCUUUUCCUUCCGUAAGACCUAGAUGAAUCGCAUAACUGCAUUCAAAAGGAAAAUGAUAUAAGACAUUUUGAAUAGAUACUCAGCGAAAAAUAGUAGGACCACUGAAAAAUUGAAGUUCACAACUACAAAAGUCAUAAUCAGAUUUAAGACAUGGUUCCCAUUUUCAUGUUCGAGAAGCCUACAUAAAUAAAUUAUAUCUGGCAUCGACCAUCUUGGUAAGCUAUGUAGAAUUUAAUGAGAAGGCUAGCAGUAAAGCAACACCUAGACCCCAUUUGUGGGAUUUCACUAGGCUUCUUGUUGUUGCUAGCAAUAAAGCAACAAACAAAGAACUUCUAUAAUCCAUUUUGGGCUUACAUAAGAUACUUAUAUUGCACAUACACAAAUACUGUUACAAUGCAAACAAUAGAUCUCAACAUUUGCCGGUUAUAAAACAAAUCCUGCAGAUUCAAAAUUUCAGAAGAAACGAGAAGGGGGAUUACAAACUUCCAAAUACCUACUCUUCUGACAUUAUAUUCCAUAUAAAUUCAAAUUACUCUUUCCUAAAGAAACAAUCUUGAGCCUUAAAAAGAUAUUAGUAAUAAACUAAAAUCUUAUUGGUCAAACUAAAGUAGUAGUUCUCAAAUGGUAAUCUCUUGGUAACUGUCCACUUGAGGAGUCACUAGUGACAGUAGGUCGUCUCUCUACCCUAAGAAAAGAAGUAUUUCUCUAUCAAAUGUGUUGCCUGAAAGUACAGAGACAAGAGAGAGAACCAUAGUUUCUCAAUCUUUUGCAAACAUAAAUCAUCAUUUUACAUCUUCUCAAGAAUCAUCAUUGAUCAAGGUACUUGAUAACUGAUUCUUUUAUUAUGUUUGUGAAAAUCACCAGGUUCUAUGAUCGUGGAUUAUGCUCACUCCAUAUCGUUCAUUACAAUCUAGUAAACAAAAUUUCUUAUACCAAUACUUAAAAUUAGGACAUUCUUUUCUCUCACCAAUCUAGAGAACAUCCCAUCGCUCGGACAAACAGCGAAAUGUAAAAACACCCUAAGUAUCUUUCAAUUAGAAAAUCUAAAGGCAAUCCACUUCUCAUCCAGAAUCCAGUCACCACAUGGAAGCAGAAUUCCUUCUUUAAUAAAAUGACAAUAACAACAGUUACGCCUCAGUCCCAAACAUAUUGGGUCGGCUACAUGAAUCCUCGCUAUGGCGGAGCUAGAAUUUAGUCUACACCCUGUAUUUGUAUCAAGAAAACCACUAAAUAUGUCCAAAAACUAAAUUCAGAACCACACCUGAUGUCAUUAUCCUAGAAUUUAGAACCUAUAAAUUUCAAGUCCUGGCUCUACCACUAAUCUUCACUGACCAUAUUACUCCAUUUAAACUCAUCUCAUGCCAUUAUAAUAAAAUAUCGGAAUCGAACUACAAUGUUGAUAAUAAUAAUAUA